AAACCAUGCAUCGGGCAUUUUCUAAUUAACUCCUUGAAUCACUCUCAUGCUUCAUAUAAUGUUUCAUCCUCAACUUUCCCAAAGGAUGUAAUAUCAUUCCUUAGUUU
Small nucleolar RNA from Gossypium arboreum, 107 nucleotides. It matches the Rfam family "Plant small nucleolar RNA R71". Rfam says of the family: R71 is a member of the C/D box family of snoRNAs containing the C (UGAUGA) and D (CUGA) box motifs. The record is from Rfam. Lineage: Eukaryota; Viridiplantae; Streptophyta; Magnoliopsida; Malvales; Malvaceae.